AUUGAACGCUGGCGGCAUGCUUUACACAUGCAAGUCGAACGGCAGCGCGGGCUUCGGCCUGGCGGCGAGUGGCGCACGGGUGAGUAAUGCAACGGAACGUGCCCAGUAUUGGUGGAUAGCACGGCCAAAGCCGGAUUAAUACCGCAUACGACCUGAGGGUGCAAGCGGGGGACCGAAAGGCCUCGCGCUAUUGGAGCGGCCGAUGCCGGAUUUGCUAGUUGGUGGGGUAAAGGCUUACCAAGGCGACGAUCCGUAGCUGGCCGGUGAGGACGACCAGCCACAUUAGAACCGGGACACGGCCCUGACUCCUGAGGUAGGCAGCAGUGGGGAAUGUUAGGCAAUGGGGGCAAACCUGACCCAGCCAUCCCGCGUGCGGGAAGAAGGCCUUCGGGGUGUAAGCCGGUUUUGUUCGGGAUGAAAUCCUCUGGGCUAAUACCCCGGGGGGAUGACGGUACCGGGAGAAUAAGCACCGGCUAACUACGUG
This 484-nucleotide ribosomal RNA is filed under the name uncultured bacterium. Its description in RNAcentral is "partial 16S ribosomal RNA". It matches the Rfam family "Bacterial small subunit ribosomal RNA", at positions 28 to 507 of the family's 1533-position model. The record is from RNAcentral.